RNAcentral lists this transfer RNA (73 nucleotides) under Candidatus Woesebacteria bacterium CG07_land_8_20_14_0_80_44_9. RNAcentral describes it as "tRNA-Ala". It matches the Rfam family "tRNA". Rfam says of the family: Transfer RNA (tRNA) molecules are approximately 80 nucleotides in length. Their secondary structure includes four short double-helical elements and three loops (D, anti-codon, and T loops). The record is from RNAcentral. Lineage: Bacteria; Candidatus Woeseibacteriota.
GGGCUCAUGGCGCAAUGGCUAGCGCGCCUCGAUGGCAUCGAGGAGGCUGCGGGUUCGAGUCCCGCUGAGUCCA